UAGGGAAUAUUGGUCAAUGGACGAAAGUCUGAACCAGCCAUGCCGCGUGAAGGAUGACGGCCCUCUGGGUUGUAAACUUCUCUUAUCUGGGACGAAAAAAGAUCAUUCCUGAUCACUUGACGGUACCAGAGGAAUAGGCACCGGCUAACUCCGUGCCAGCAGCCGCGGUAAUACGGAGGAUCCAAGCGUUAUCCGGAAUCAUUGGGUUUAAAGGGUCCGUAGGCGGUUUAGUAAGUCAGUGGUGAAAGCCCAUCGCUCAACGAUGGAACGGCCAUUGAUACUGCUAGACUUGAAUUAUUAGGAAGUAACUAGAAUAUGUAGUGUAGCGGUGAAAUGCUUAGAUAUGACAUAGAACACCAAUUGCGAAGGCAGCUGGCUACGCAUAUAUUGACACUGAGGCACGAAAGCGUGGGGAUCAAACA
Molecule: ribosomal RNA, 422 nt
Filed under: uncultured bacterium
Lineage: Bacteria
Description: bacterial SSU rRNA
Rfam family: Bacterial small subunit ribosomal RNA
Source: RNAcentral